RNAcentral lists this ribosomal RNA (541 nucleotides) under uncultured Gallionellaceae bacterium. RNAcentral's name for it is "bacterial SSU rRNA". It matches the Rfam family "Bacterial small subunit ribosomal RNA", at positions 135 to 671 of the family's 1533-position model. Lineage: Bacteria; Pseudomonadati; Pseudomonadota; Betaproteobacteria; Nitrosomonadales; Gallionellaceae. The record is from RNAcentral.
AGUGGGGGAUAACGUAGCGAAAGUUACGCUAAUACCGCAUAUGCCCUGAGGGGGAAAGGAGGGGAUCGCAAGACCUUUCGCUUUCGGAGUGGCCGAUAUCAGAUUAGCUAGUUGGUGAGGUAAAGGCUCACCAAGGCGACGAUCUGUAGCGGGUCUGAGAGGAUGAUCCGCCACACUGGGACUGAGACACGGCCCAGACUCCUACGGGAGGCAGCAGUGGGGAAUUUUGGACAAUGGGCGCAAGCCUGAUCCAGCCAUGCCGCGUGAGUGAAGAAGGCCUUCGGGUUGUAAAGCUCUUUCAGCCGGAAAGAAAUCAUGCUUACUAAUACUAAGUGUGGAUGACGGUACCGGAAGAAGAAGCACCGGCUAACUACGUGCCAGCAGCCGCGGUAAUACGUAGGGUGCGAGCGUUAAUCGGAAUUACUGGGCGUAAAGCGUGCGCAGGCGGUUUUUUAAGACAGACGUGAAAUCCCCGGGCUUAACCUGGGAACUGCGUUUGUGACUGGAAGGCUAGAGUACGGCAGAGGGGGGUAGAAUUCCA